AUUGUUAACGUGCUGGCUGAAAGAAUCUCCGUAAUGUUUUAAACUAAGUUUUUGCCAGAGACAUAUUCAAUUCGUUGGUUUAAAGCAGUAAUGAAGUUAAACAAUCACCUCUCUCUGGAGUAUGCUGGGAGUGGGUGUGACUAGCAUGAGAGCUGCAUGUGUGGUGAUUUAUUUGUGUGUUUGGAGUCGGCAUGGCCGGUCAGCAUGGCAGCAGGAGGAUUUGCUGUAGGACAUGUGAUUCGCUCAUGCCCGGAGAGAGCAGGUGAGAGCCGGCCAGCUGCUCACGCAGAGGAUCCGCCGCCCGUUAAAGCCGAAAGCGGAGGCUCGGUACCGGACGGACCGCAGGGAAGCAUGCAGGCCUCGCAGGAGGAAACCCGAGACAAUAGCUAUCUUCGAGGGUGAACAAAACGAACAAGAUGGUGUAACGGAGGAAGUGUUGCCUAAUGAGACAGACAACUGCCAGGAAAGAUCACACAUUCAUGUCUGUGUUACCAGAGGUCAUAAAUUUACACAAAGACUGUCAGCCAGUGGGGACAUGGGAUGUCAAAGCAUAGACAAAAGCUUAUUUAUGUAUCAACAGUUCUGCGUAAGUAUCCUCGUUGGCAAACCAUUUUCUGAAAAUUUGUUUAUAGUUGAAACAAAACGCACGAUUCUUUUAAAACACCGUCUUUAAAAAAAGGUGUUUUUUUUUUCUUUUCUUUUUUUUAAACCCUUAAAGUACCUCGUUUGGAAAGCAGGCUAUGUAAUCAAUAUCUUUCAUUUUCUUCAGACAUGUCACUUCAGUCUCCA
Ictalurus punctatus (channel catfish) is the source of this 789-nucleotide long non-coding RNA. The record is from Ensembl. Lineage: Eukaryota; Metazoa; Chordata; Actinopteri; Siluriformes; Ictaluridae.